This 433-nucleotide ribosomal RNA is filed under the name uncultured bacterium. RNAcentral describes it as "partial 16S ribosomal RNA". It matches the Rfam family "Bacterial small subunit ribosomal RNA", at positions 29 to 507 of the family's 1533-position model. The record is from RNAcentral.
AACGAACGCUGGCGGCAUGCCUAACACAUGCAAGUCGAACGAGACCUUCGGGUCUAGUGGCGCACGGGUGCGUAACGCGUGGGAACCUGCCCUUAGGUUCGGAAUAACUCCCCGAAAGGGGUGCUAAUACCGGAUAAUGUCUUCGAACCAAAGAUUUAUCGCCUUUGGAUGGGCCCGCGUUGGAUUAGCUAGUUGGUAGGGUAAAAGCCUACCAAGGCGACGAUCCAUAGCUGGUCUGAGAGGAUGAUCAGCCACACUGGGACUGAGACACGGCCCAGACUCCUACGGGAGGCAGCAGUGGGGAAUAUUGGACAAUGGGCGAAAGCCUGAUCCAGCAAUGCCGCGUGAGUGAUGAAGACCUUAGGGUUGUAAAGCUCUUUUACCCGGGAUGAUAAUGACAGUACCGGGAGAAUAAGCUCCGGCUAACUCCGUG